RNAcentral lists this ribosomal RNA (260 nucleotides) under uncultured bacterium. RNAcentral describes it as "partial 16S ribosomal RNA". It matches the Rfam family "Bacterial small subunit ribosomal RNA", at positions 793 to 1055 of the family's 1533-position model. The record is from RNAcentral.
GUCCACGCUGUAAACGAUGAGUGCUAGGUGUUGGGUCGAGAGACUCGGUGCCGCAGCUAACGCAAUAAGCACUCCACCUGGGGAGUACGGCCGCAAGGCUGAAACUCAAAAGAAUUGACGGGGGCCCGCACAAGCGGUGGAGCAUGUGGUUUAAUUCGAAGCAACGCGAAGAACCUUACCAAGGCUUGACAUCUUCUUGACGUAUGUAGAGAUACAUAUUCCCUUCGGGGCAAGAAUGACAGGUGGUGCAUGGUUGUCGU